UCUGAGACUUGGGAUCCAUUGGGGAAUCUGAACAGUAGAUGGAUCCUUACGGAUCCCUUAUGAUUACAGUAUAUUUCCAAUAAGAUGUGAUGCAUAUAUGCAUUUCAUGUAAAAAAUCCAAUUGGAAACUUUUAUACAGGAAAAUGACUGCUAGGUCCCCAAUGGAAUUGCUAACGUUAACGGGAUCUGAUUGGAACAUACUUGCAUUACAAAACUCAAUAUCCCAUCUGAAUUAAUCAUAUUGGAUUUAGACGAAAAGGCAUGAAAUAUAUCAAGCAUCCCCGAUAAAUACUGAGCGGCAUAUUUGGAAUUCACUCCUCGUCAUGCUUUUUUAGUUUCUCUUUGGUCAGCCUAAAUUACUCGCUCUGGUAAAUUUUCUAUUCUUUGAAAUAUACCUGCGGUGACAUGACCCACGCCGUCGUAUGUUGGGAGGACGAAGACUAUUUUGAAUUCGGAACAACGUUCGAAGAUGUAUCGACCCUAUCCGAUUUAAAGCAUUAAAGGAUUACACAACGCAAAUUUUCGGCCUGAAGCCAAAUACUGUUGAGUGGUUAACUUUUGAAAAGAAGCUUCACAAUAUUCCUGGGGAUGCCAGAAAGAAGAUGAAUCGUCUCACAGGUCUGGCUGGAAAUUCUACGAUCAUGUCGCCGGAAUUCAGUUGUUCGAAUUCCGAUGAUUCAGAAACGAGAGUUGAGGAGUAUCUCAACUUGGUAGGGGAGAAUUAAGAAUAGUAUAAAAUUUAUUAAUUGGAUUCUUGUAUAAAUAAAUACAUUGAAUUUUUAAUAGUCG
This is a long non-coding RNA of Folsomia candida, 789 nucleotides long. RefSeq lists it as uncharacterized. Lineage: Eukaryota; Metazoa; Arthropoda; Collembola; Entomobryomorpha; Isotomidae. The transcript is spliced from 2 exons. The record is from RefSeq and is a predicted model, not a curated record.